UAGCCCAGUUGUACAGGGAGUUGACCGAUU
Molecule: non-coding RNA, 30 nt
Filed under: Homo sapiens (human)
Lineage: Eukaryota; Metazoa; Chordata; Mammalia; Primates; Hominidae
Source: RNAcentral